RNAcentral lists this ribosomal RNA (392 nucleotides) under uncultured bacterium. RNAcentral describes it as "partial 16S ribosomal RNA". It matches the Rfam family "Bacterial small subunit ribosomal RNA", at positions 523 to 918 of the family's 1533-position model. The record is from RNAcentral.
AUACGGAGGAUCCGAGCGUUAUCCGGAUUUAUUGGGUUUAAAGGGUGCGCAGGCGGCCAUUUAAGUCAGCGGUUAAAUCGUGGGGCUCAACCCCAUUCUGCCGUUGAUACUGGGUGGCUUGAUUGCGGUCGAGGUUGGCGGAAUUCGUUGUGUAGCGGUGAAAUGCAUAGAUAUGACGAAGAACACCGAUUGCGUAGGCAGCUGACCAGACCGCAAAUGACGCUCAUGCACGAAAGUGCGGGGAUCGAACAGGAUUAGAUACCCUGGUAGUCCGCACAGUAAACGAUGAAUACUUGUUUUCGGCGAUAUAAUGUCGGAGGCAAAGCGAAAGCGAUAAGUAUUCCGCCUGGGGAGUACGCCGGCAGCGGUGAAACUCAAAUGAAUUGACGGGG